The submitters of this non-coding RNA (106 nucleotides) gave its source as unclassified sequences. The record is from Rfam.
ACAUUCUUAGAAUAUCCGUCCUAGUGUCGUAAGACAGGGUUAAACAACAAGCAUCUGUGAUAGAUGCACUUGAUAAAGCUAGACCUAAGCAAGUUUGAGUUGCAAG